Molecule: ribosomal RNA, 492 nt
Filed under: uncultured bacterium
Lineage: Bacteria
Description: partial 16S ribosomal RNA
Rfam family: Bacterial small subunit ribosomal RNA
Source: RNAcentral
AGUGAACGCUGGCGGCAGGCCUAACACAUGCAAGUCGAACGGAAACACAGUAAGAUUUUGCUCUUACCGGUGGCGAGAGGCGGGCGGGUGACGAGUAUAUCGGAACCUUCUCUUUCGUGGGGGAUAACGUAAGGAAAGUUACGAUAAUACCGCAUCUGAUCCACCGGUGUAAGCAGUGGAACUUCGCGGCUUGUGCGAAUGAACUAGCCGCUGUCGGGGUAGCUAGUUGGCGGGGUAAUGACCCACCAUGGCACCGAUCCGUAGCUGGACUGAGAGGAUGAUAGGCCACACUGGAACUGGGACACGGUCCAGACUACUACGGGAGGGAGCAGUGGGGAAUAUUAGGCAAUGGGCGGAAGCAUGACCCAGCCAUACCGCGUGUGAGAAGAAGGCCUUCGGGGCGUAAAGCCCUUUUGUUGGGUAAGAAAAGCUGUAGGUUAAUACGCCGCUGUUGUGACGGUACCGAAUGAAUAAGCACCGGCUAACUACGUG